This 466-nucleotide ribosomal RNA is filed under the name uncultured Acidobacteriota bacterium. RNAcentral's name for it is "bacterial SSU rRNA". It matches the Rfam family "Bacterial small subunit ribosomal RNA", at positions 338 to 795 of the family's 1533-position model. The record is from RNAcentral. Lineage: Bacteria; Pseudomonadati; Acidobacteriota.
CCUACGGGUGGCUGCAGUGGGGAAUUGUUCGCAAUGGGCGAAAGCCUGACGACGCAACGCCGCGUGGGGGAUGAAGGUCUUCGGAUUGUAAACCCCUGUCGUGUGGGAAGAACGACCUCGUGGUGAACAGCCAUGGGGUUUGACGGUACCACGUGAGGAAGCCCCGGCUAACUCUGUGCCAGCAGCCGCGGUAAUACAGAGGGGGCAAGCGUUGUUCGGAAUUACUGGGCGUAAAGGGCGCGUAGGCGGCCUACUAAGUCAUACGUGAAAUCCCACGGCUCAACCGUGGAACUGCGUCUGAGACUGGAAGGCUUGAAUUCGGGAGAGGGAUGCGGAAUUCCAGGUGUAGCGGUGAAAUGCGUAGAUAUCUGGAGGAACACCGGUGGCGAAGGCGGCAUCCUGGACCGACAUUGACGCUGAGGCGCGAAAGCCAGGGGAGCAAACGGGAUUAGAUACCCCAGUAGUC